AAGGUAGCGAAAUUCCUUGUCGGGUAAGUUCCGACCUGCACGAAUGGCGUAACGAUCUCCACACUGUCUCGGCCAGAGACUCGGUGAAAUUGAAGUCGCGGUGAAAAUGCCGUGUACCCGCAGAAAGACGGAAAGACCCUGUGCACCUUUACUAUAGCUUGACAUUGGGAUUUGGAACUGCAUGUGUAGGAUAGGUGGGAGACAAUGAACCCUGUACGCCAGUAUGGGGGGAGUCAUCGUUGAAAUACCACCCUUGUUUUUUCAGGUCCCUAACUCGUGUCCGUAAUCCGGCAUGAGGACAUUGUCUGGUGGGUAGUUUGACUGGGGCGGUCGCCUCCCAAAAAGUAACGGAGGCAUGCAAAGGUUCCCUCAGGCUGAUUGGAAACCAGCCGUCGAGUGCAAACGCAUAAGGGAGCUUGACUGCAAGAGAGACAUCUCGAGCAGGUACGAAAGUAGGCGUUAGUGAUCCGGUGGUCCCGUAUGGAAGGGCCAUCGCUCAUUGGAUAAAAGGUACGCCGGGGAUAACAGGCUGAUCGCAUCCAAGAGUUCACAUCGACGAUGCGGUUUGGCACCUCGAUGUCGGCUCAUCACAUCCUGGGGCUGAAGCAGGUCCCAAGGGUACGGCUGUUCGCCGUUUAAAGUGGUACGCGAGCUGGGUUUAAAACGUCGUGAGACAGUUUGGUCCCUAUCUUCUGUGGGCGUCGGAGAAUUGCGAGGGCCUGUCCCUAGUACGAGAGGACCGGGAUGGACGCACCCCUGGUGGACCUGUUGUCGUGCCAACGGCACAGCAGGGUAGCUAUGUGCGGAAGGGAUAACCGCUGAAAGCAUCUAAGCGGGAAGCCUGCCUCAAGAUAAUUUCUCCCGGGAGCAAUCCCCUGAAGGGCCGAGGUAGACUACCUCGUCGAUAGGCUGGGUGUGCAAGCGCCGCGAGGCGUUGAGCUGACCAGUACUAAUAGCCCGUGCGGCUUGUUUUU
Molecule: ribosomal RNA, 974 nt
Filed under: human oral metagenome
Description: bacterial LSU rRNA
Rfam family: Bacterial large subunit ribosomal RNA
Source: RNAcentral